UUCUCUGCAAGAUUGUUUUUGCUCUCUGGCAGAAAUCUCCAUGGUUGUAACUGACACCACUUAGCUGCUCAGGUUGGUGCCGCAAACCUCACAGCUCUCAGAGAUCACAUAUGGACCUCAAACCCUCGAUCAUUGUUUUUGACCAGGACGUGCAUGCAACUCUUGUUGAUGUUGAGAGCAUGACUUGCUACCUAUUCCUCGCUCACCCCGGAAAGGCAAUUUUGAAGAACUCCCUUCUCACCAGACCGUUUCAAACCGCGUGCAGCAGAAUGAUAUGUAGGCAUACGGGAAACUACUCGAGAUCGCAGGGGGCAAAUAUGGAAACCCGUUCAAAUACAGCAUCGCGAGAAACAGUGCAUAAAGUUCA
This 367-nucleotide small RNA is filed under the name Histoplasma ohiense. Its description in RNAcentral is "hypothetical lncRNA". Lineage: Eukaryota; Fungi; Ascomycota; Eurotiomycetes; Onygenales; Ajellomycetaceae. The record is from RNAcentral.